RNAcentral lists this transfer RNA (71 nucleotides) under Arnoglossus polyspilus (many-spotted lefteye flounder). RNAcentral describes it as "tRNA-Ile". It matches the Rfam family "tRNA". Rfam says of the family: Transfer RNA (tRNA) molecules are approximately 80 nucleotides in length. Their secondary structure includes four short double-helical elements and three loops (D, anti-codon, and T loops). Further hydrogen bonds mediate the characteristic L-shaped molecular structure. tRNAs have two regions of fundamental functional importance: the anti-codon, which is responsible for specific mRNA codon recognition, and the 3' end, to which the tRNAs corresponding amino acid is attached (by aminoacyl-tRNA synthetases). tRNAs cope with the degeneracy of the genetic code in two manners: having more than one tRNA (with a specific anti-codon) for a particular amino acid; and 'wobble' base-pairing, i.e. permitting non-standard base-pairing at the 3rd anti-codon position. Lineage: Eukaryota; Metazoa; Chordata; Actinopteri; Pleuronectiformes; Bothidae. The record is from RNAcentral.
GGAACUGUGCCUGAAUCCUAGGGGCCACUUUGAUAGAGUGUAAAAUGAGGGUUAAAGUCCCUCCAGCUCCU